Molecule: RNA transcript, 7007 nt
Organism: Cornus florida
Lineage: Eukaryota; Viridiplantae; Streptophyta; Magnoliopsida; Cornales; Cornaceae
Gene name: putative disease resistance RPP13-like protein 1
Exons: 8
Source: RefSeq, a predicted model, not a curated record
CACCAUUGUUGUGUGACUGUGUGUGUAUGGAAUCCAACAAACUUUUCAUGAUGUUGUCAGAGGUCAGUAAUCCAAAGUAGCUUUAAUUAAUUAAUUAAUUAAUAUUUUUUUGUAAAAUAAAGUAGCUUUACUUAUUUGCACUUUACUUGAUCCUUCCUAACCAGAAUAUUGAACAUUAAACAACUGGCUUAUCACUUCUUCCUCUGAAGAAGAAACAAACAGCUAGUGUCUCUCUUCAGCUUUCUCUCUCUAAAGGCUCUUCACAGUGUCCUCUGUCUCUCAGUGGAAGAAAAGAAAAGAACAUGGCUGAAGGUAUAGUGUGUGGAGCACUUCUCUCGGCUUCCUUUCAAGUAUUGUUUAGUAAGUUGCUUUCUCGUGAGUUCAUAAGCUUCGUUUCCAAACGAAAGUGCGAUGAUGGACUCAUAGACAAGCUCAAGACUAAUUUUCUCGCCCUCCAAGCAGUGCUGGAUGACGCCGAGGACAAGCAGAUCACCAACCAGCAUGUGAAAGCUUGGCUUGACGAGCUCCAACAUGUCGUCUACCAAGCUGAUGACUUGCUGGACGAGAUCGCUACGAAAGCCUUGAGGGUCAAAUUAGAAGCUGAUUACGACCAGUCCCAGUCCCAAAGCAGCACAACUCAGGUUGGUUUCACUCGAUUUCUUCGUUUGAUCAAGAAUUCUCUGUUGCGCAUUAAUAAAUUCGUCGUCUCGAAUUCUGUUUAUCUCUCUGAUGAAGAGAUAGAGUCUAGGAUGAAAGAAAUCAUUAGCAAGUUAGAGUAUUUUGUUGAGCAAAAAAAAACUCUUCAAUUGAGGGAAUUUGUUGGAAGGAAACCAUCACAGAGACUGCCAACUGCAUCUUUGGUAUAUGAAGAUGAGGUCUGUGGUAGGAAGGACGACAGAGAGAAGAUAAUUAAAUUGUUGUUGUCCGGCAACGCAGUUGAAAAUGAGAUGUGUGUGAUCCCCAUUGUAGGUAUGGGUGGGGUGGGCAAGACAACCCUUGCCCAGUUGGUAUACAACGAUGCUCGAGUCAAUGAGCAUUUUCAUAUGAAAUCGUGGGUUUGCGUUUCUGAUGCAUUUGAUAUUUCCAUGAUAACAAAGAAAAUUUUGGAUGGUGUCACCUCAUCAAACAAUAACAUCAACGACCUCGAUGACCUUCAAAUCAAGUUGAAAGAGAGCUUGGCAGGGAAGAGAUUCCUAAUUGUUUUAGACGAUGUCUGGAAUGACAAUUACAUUGAUUGGGACCUCUUGAGAAGACCUUUCAGAGCUGGAGCACAGGAGAGUAGGAUCAUUGUGACGACGCGCAAUGACAAUGUCGCAUCAAUGAUGGGCACAAUUACUAGUCAUCCCGUGGAGCAAUUGCCUAUUGAAGAUUGUUGGUCAUUAUUUGCAAAACAUGCAUUUGUGAAUGGAGAUUAUAUGGCUUAUCCAGAGCUACAGAGUAUUGGCAGAGAAAUUGUGAAGAAAUGUGGAGGCCUUCCUUUAGCAGUAAAAUCACUUGGAGGUCUCUUGCGGUCUAAAUUGGAAAUUGAGGAAUGGAAAAAUAUAUUAAAAAGCGAGAUAUGGGAUUUGGAUCAAAACAUUCCUCCAGCUCUAAAAUUGAGUUAUCAUUAUCUUCCUCCGCAUUUAAAGAGAUGCUUUGCAUACUGCUCGAUAUUUCCGAAGGAUUACAAAUUUGAAAAGGAGAAGUUAGUCCAGUUAUGGAUAGCUUUAGAUCUUGUGCAGCAACCCAAAACCAACAAAUCAAUGGAAGAUGAAGGUAAUGACUACUUUCGUGAACUAUUAUCAAGGUCUUUCUUUCAAAUAUUUAGUCAUGACAACGAUUCUGAUUUUCUAAUGCAUGACUUGAUCCAUAACUUAGCUCAAGUUAUAUCUGGAGAAUUUUGUUUUAGGCUAGACAAGCCACUUGAUUAUAUCUGUGAAAAAGUUUGUCAUUUCUCAUAUGUUCGCGGCAACUACGACGCAUCUGAGAAAUUCAAGGCUGUUAAUGAGGUUAAGUGUUUAAGGACAUUCAUAUCAUUUUCAAGAGAUCAACGGCGUUGUUACUUAGGCAAUAAGGUACUACAUGAUAUGUUGCCAAUCCUGAGAUGCUUAAGGGUUCUAUCUCUGUCAAACUAUCAUAUUUCUGAAUUGCCUCAAUCAAUCGAAAAUUUGAUACAUUUACGCUAUUUGGAUCUCUCUAAGACGAGAAUCAAGAAGUUACCUGAUUCGGUUACAACCUUGUGCAAUUUACAGAUAUUAGAUUUGUCAUACUGUGAAUGUCUCACUGAGUUGCCUGAGAACAUGGGAAAACUAACAAACUUGCGUCAUCUUGAUAUAAAAGGAACUAGAUUGACUGAAAUGCCAACACAAAUGAGCAGGCUGAAAGAUCUCCAACAUUUAACAUAUUUUGUAGUUGGCACAAAUGUUGAGUCAAGCAUAAGUGGGUUGAAGGAACUCUGCCAUCUUAGGGGUAACCUCGAUAUUUUAGGGUUGGAAAAUGUAGUAAGUGGUCAAGAUGCAUCAGAGGCCAAUAUGAAGGAAAAGAAAAAUCUUGAAGGAUUAGUGUUGAAAUGGGGUGGUGAUACAGACGAUUCAAUAAAGGAAAGAGAUGUACUUGACAAGUUACAGCCUCAUGAAGGCUUGAAGACUCUCAGCAUCUUCAACUAUGGGAGCACAAAAUUUCCCGAGUGGUUAGAGGGAGCUCAUUCACUUCAUAACAUGGUUUCCUUAGAACUUAUAAGCUGUGCAAAUUGCUAUUCCUUGCCGUCAAUUGGUCAGCUACCAUCUCUAAAAGAUCUAAGAAUUAGAGGAAUGAAAGCAAUAACAAAAGUGGGUGGAGAGUUCUAUAGGGAUGCUUCUUCUUCGAUCAAACCAUUUCAAUCUUUGGAGACACUAAGCUUUGAAAGAAUGCCAGAGUGGAAGGAAUGGCAUGCACUAGGGGCUGGAGAGUUCUCUCGCCUUUUAAAGCUUCGUAUGUUCAAUUGUCCUAAGUUGACUGGUGAAUUACCUAACCAUUUCCCAUCUCUAAGGAAACUUGAAAUUUUCGGAUGCCAUGGGCUCGUGUCCAGUCAAAUUGGGUUCUUGCUGCAAGGUCUGCCUUAUCUUCAAGAAUUGAAGAUGUCAGAUAUGACAAACUUGACGAAAUUGCCGCAGCAGCUGCAACACCUGUCUUCCCUUCAGGAAUUGGUAAUCUCAAAUAUGCCAAACUUGAUGGAAUUGCCACUGCAGCUGCAACACCUGUCUUCCCUUCAAGAAUUGAUGGUCUCAAAUAUGCCAAACCUGAAGAAAUUGCCACAGCAGUUGCAAUACCUUUCUUCUCUUCGGAAAUUGAAGAUUUCAAGGAUGCCAAACUUGAAGGAGUUGCCUCUGGGAUUGUGCAGAUUAAUAAAACUUGAACGGUUGAAUAUAGAGAAAUGCCGGAGCCUUGUGUCAUUUCCGGACGUGGGAUUGCUGCCAAUGCUUAAAGCUCUGGAGAUUGAUGAAUGUGAAGCUCUGCAGUCCCUAACAAUAGCAUCAGCAAAGAGAAUGAAUGUGAAUAUGAUGGACAUCAACAAUAUUUGCCUUGAAGAGUUGCGCAUCUCUCACUGUUCAUCUCUUCUUCAGUUGUUUUUCCCGAAUGGUGGUCUACCUCCUCUUACAUUGAAAGAACUUGAGAUCAACAACUGUAGAAGUUUAGAGUUUCCCCUGCCGAAGGAGAUGAAGCAUAAUUACCACACAUGUUCCAUUAAAGUUCUUAAGAUAAAUGACUGUGAUCUUCUCAAAUCGUUGUGGUUAGGUUUCUCCCCAAGGCUUCGUUCUCUCAAAAUCAGGGGGUGUAUAAAUUUUGAAAAGCUUUCAAUUCCAGACAACGAGCUUCAAAAUCUGAUGGAGCUUAGAAUAGAGAAUUGCCCUACAAUGGUAUCCUUUGCUCAUGGAGGACUGCCCGCUCCCAAUCUGACCUCUUUUACAAUUUCGAAUUGCAAGAAAUUGAAGUCGCUGCCGCAACGAAUGCACACCUUCCUCCCAUCUCUUCAAUCAUUGCGUAUACAAAACUGUCCAGAAGUUGAAUCAUUUCCAGAUGGAGGUUUGCCAUCCAACUUAACUACACUUUGCAUCUUGUAUUGUGAGAAACUCAUGAAGGGCCGGAUGGGGUGGGGUUUGCAAAGCCUCUCAUCUCUUCGAAACAUCUGGUUUUUAGGUGGUAAAUAUGAAGAAGAAGCGCUGGAGUCAUUUCCCGAGGAGUUGCUAUUGCCCACCACUCUUACCUAUCUUUGUAUCUGUGACCUUCCAAAUCUGAAAUCACUGAACAACAAGGGCAUUCAAUGCCUCACCUCUCUUGAAAUAUUACGCAUCCACCAUUGUCUUAAGCUCCACUCCUUGCCAGCAGAGGGGCUGCCAAACUCCCUCUCUUACCUGUGGAUAUCCAAAUGUCCAUUGCUGAAACUACGUUGCCAAAGGGAAACAGGAGAAGAUUGGCCCAAGAUUUGUCAAAUCCGCCACAUAGAGCUUGAUGGUGAAGACAUUGUAAACUUAGAGUGACACUCAUGCAGCAAAACCCACCUAAUUCCUUCCACUUAGUCACAACUAAAACAACUUGCUGCAAAUCACCUCUCUUGAAAUGUACUUCAUCCACAAUUGCCGUAAGCUCCAGUCCUUGCCAGAAGAGGGGUUGCCCAACUCCGUCUCUUACCUGAGUAUAUGGGGUUGUCCAUUGCUGAAACCACGAUACCAAAGGGAGAAAGGGGAAGAUUGUUGCAAGAUUUCCCGAAUCCGCCACAUAUAUCCUCAUUGUACAGAAAUCGUAAACUUAAGAGAGUGAGAAAAAUCAUUCAUGCUCGUAUUGGAUUCCUCUGGUUUCUAUUCUUGCAGGAAUCCCUUCCACUCAGUGUGCAUUUCUUGGAGCAAUGGAAACCUUGCUUGUGACCAAAUCAAAUCACAUUAUGACCAUGUCCAGAUGAAAUUCUCAACUUCUGACGCUUGCCAAGAAACUUCAACUCUCACUCAGAUAUAGACUCUUAGGUCUCCGUUUGAUUCUAGAAAUAAUGAUGGAAGGCAAAGGGAAAUGGAAAAAGAAAUUAGAAAAAAAAGAUGGAAGGCAAAGGAAUGUGGAAAACGAAAUCAGAAGUUAAAGAAACAUUCCAUUGGUAAAAGUUUUUGAUUUCUUGACAGUUUUUUCAAUGGAUUCUCCAAAGAGCUUCUUGCUUAACAUCCGAUUUUCUUGAAACUUCCACUGUUACCAGAGGGCAAGUCACAUUUUCAAAUACAAUAUUGACCACAAACAUCAAUAGCAAGAUUUAUCUACUUCUCUCAAUUUCUCUUAUAUGAACCACUCAGUCACAACUAAAACAGCUUGCUGCAAAUUAAUCUGAAGAGGCCUCUAACUCGGAUGGUGGUACAUCUUCGUAGUGGGAGUCAGGAAGUUUUGUCAUCUGAUGAGUGGUCAUUUUUGUUUAGUAACAAUCCCUGUGAAGGCAACCAUCCUCUAACUUGGAUGGUGGUACAUCCUCUCGUGAUUUGUAGUACUCCCAAGUAAUGAGAGAAGAAAAAAGGGGCCGUGUUCGUUUGUAUGGGUUAGGUCCUACACUUAUUGACACUUGGGGAUCAUCUCCUACUCGGCUGGAGCUUUUGAGGAGGGCGACAUAGUCUGAGAAUGAGGUAAAGGUUGUACUUGCAGAAUUUCAAGAGACUAUCUAAUUUGAAGGCGAAGUAUGAUGAAAACCUUGAAAGUCUAAAACAACAAAUGGCCAUGUUAUUGCGUCAUCAUAGGCAGACUCAGAAUUUCUAGUGGACCGGUUUUGGACUAUUCCGCCACUCUAGGAGACUCCCCACAUUUUGGUUCUAGUGAUGACACUCAACCUUUGGACCAGUCAAGGCAGUAAAGCAGGAAUACAACAGAUAAGGACUUUCACUUAUGUUCAUGUGCGGGUUUAUACCAAACAAUCCUGAUAAAGAUUAUUUGGGAACCUACUGGUUGAACAUUUUCUGUAGAUUCUAUGUGGAGUGAAAUCAGACCUAGAGGGAAUUUGGUGGAAUGGCCUGAAGUUUUGUGAAAGGGAAUGUUCCUAGGCAUUCCCUCAUCCCAUGAAAGGGAAUUUGGUUGACUUUCCACUCGGGACAGAUUGAUGCAAUUUGGCUUACUUGAAAGGAGUUGUGUGUUUUGCAGGCUUAACAUUGAAGAUCAUAAUCAUAUUUUCUUCAACUGCUCCUUUUCGUCCGAAAUCCGGACUUUUAGGUAAUAUUCAAUGGCUCUCGGACAGCCUUCAGGGUAUGCUUAAAUUCAUUUUGGGAGCUACAGUCUAUGUAAUCUGGAGAGAGGAAUGAGAGGAUGAUUUCCAACUCUUACAGGGAUGUAGGCUCUGUUCAGAAGGAAAUCUCGGAGUUGGCAAGGUUCAAUAUUAGUCUUUGUGAAACAUUUCUUCUUCUGAUGAGGACAAGUGGUUACAAAGGGAAUGGGACAUCCCAGCUUCAGUGUUCAAGGUUUAGUUCAAUGCUGCUGAUUGCCUUUAAGUUCCCGUUGCCACUGCUUUUGUCUCCUGUUUUUUUGUGGAUGGUGGUCUCUUUCUAGUACAUGCUUGUUACCUUCAUGGGUUUGAGCCAGGCGUAUUCAGACGGUAUAUUUGCUAUGAAUAGUGCCCUUUGGUUGAUAGGUUAGAAUUGGAUGGGUUUGUACAGAGUCAGUGAGUAUUUUUGUUGACGAUGAUGGUGGUGUCGGGCCUCUUAGAACACCUCAUAAUCCACCAUAAGACACAUGCAAUCCCCCGUCCCACAUGGGGCAAUUACUGGAAAAUUUGGUUUCAUCCGUGAUGCUCCAUGGAUCGAACUUGUUGAUUGUGUUGUUGAUGGGACUUGGAACCUUGUUAUUUCUUGCGUUCUUUUGACUAGGCUUAUACUAGCCCAUUUGUGCUCUUGCUUUUUGCUGAUGUACUGGUGGGCUUGGGGUUAUUGGGAUUUAUUUAUUUAUUGUAUAGGUUGGUUCUUUAGUAUAACCUGUAUGAACUUUAUUUUUUAUUUUGAAAAGCCCAAUGACAUAUGCCAUUUGUAUUUACUGUA